Molecule: long non-coding RNA, 723 nt
Organism: Apis dorsata (giant honeybee)
Lineage: Eukaryota; Metazoa; Arthropoda; Insecta; Hymenoptera; Apidae
Exons: 2
Source: RefSeq, a predicted model, not a curated record
UCUCUGAAAAUAUAAAAUCAAACAUUAAUUUCAUAUAAGAUUAAACUAUUUCAUAUAAGAUGUUUCUUAUAAAACAUUUUUCUUCUAAAAUAUAUAGAUAUUUUAAAUAAGUCAUCUUUCUUGAUUACAUACGUGUAAUUAUCUAGAACUGCCAAAAAAUCAAAUCGUGGUAAAUCCUAAGGAAUUUUCAACCUUAAGGAAAAGCCAAGGAAGCUAGGAAGAUGGUGCAAGUUAUUUGACUUUGAUCAGCAACGAGUAUUAUUUUGGUGUUUGGCCGCGUUAUUUAUCGGCCUCUUUAUUGGCGAUCUGAUUUUCAGUUGGCCACGAGCCAGGAUCCGGGAUUUUCUGCUUGCUCGUUUCGCUUCCCAGAAGUGAACGGCAGAGACGAAGAAGCAACGUUAAUGUCUUUACUUUCGAUAAACGUGUUUCGAUGUAACGACAAAUUCAGACACAGGCGUUACCACAACGUGGAGUGAGACAUAGUAAAUCACGGGACUAUGUAGGAAAACCGUGGAACCCGUGAAAGCUCGAAACGCGGAAUUUAUAGACACCUUCAAAAGAGCUUUCGACCGUCACAACAAACAUGUCCCGGCAAUCCAGCAUAGUCAUUCAUCAUUCAGCCUCGCCACACUGGAACUGCGGCUCGUCUAUCAACGAUUUUGAAUCGUUCCAUUCGCCUGUAUUAAUUUCAAUUCGCGAGAAAUAAACUUAUUCUUGAAAAUA